Molecule: ribosomal RNA, 467 nt
Filed under: uncultured bacterium
Lineage: Bacteria
Description: bacterial SSU rRNA
Rfam family: Bacterial small subunit ribosomal RNA
Source: RNAcentral
GAUUAGAGUUUGAUCCUGGCUCAGGAUGAACGCUGGCGGCGUGCUUAAUACAUGCAAGUCGAACGGAGACAGUAGCAAUAUUGUCUUAGUGGCGAACGGGUGAGUAACGCGUUGGUGACCUGCCCCGAAGAGGGGGAUAACAGUCCGAAAGGAUUGCUAAUACCCCAUGUGGUCAUUUGGAUUAGAUGCCUUAUGACUAAACGGAUUUAUUCGCUUCGGGAGGGGCCUGCGUCCCAUCAGCUAGUUGGUAAGGUAAUGGCUUACCAAGGCGAUGACGGGUAGGGGACCUGAGAGGGUGGCCCCCCACAAUGGAACUGAAACACGGUCCAUACACCUACGGGUGGCAGCAGUAGGGAAUAUUGGUAAUGUGCGAAAGCGCGAACCAGCAACGCCGCGUGCGCGAUGAAGGCCUUCGGGUUGUAAAGCGCUUUUUAUGGGGAUGAGGAAGGACAGUACUCAUGAAUAGC